CGGAGUGAGCCGGGAGCAGAGUGAAGACUUAAGGACUUCGGCUCAACGGGCUUAGGCGGAAACGGGCGAGGCGAGGAAGGUGUCCCCCGCUUUUCGAACGUUCGCUUUACGAAACCUCACUGUUACGAAAGACCUACAUUAGUACCCUGUUUUCGCUAACAGGUGUUUUCACUAUUACGAAAAAAGCAGCGCGUGAAAAAAAUCAGCGCACACCCCGAGCAGCCGCUCUCUCCCAGAUUCAGAACUGCAUUCUAGCCAGCAUUGCUUAAACUCGUGCCUGUGAGCAGCCGUUUGCAAGAUGAGGAAAGAACUCGUAAGGAUGUUACACUUAGAGUAAAACAUAAUUAAGCGUUUUGAUCGUGGUGAACGAAGAAAGGUCUAAGUGAGUUUGGCUUGUGGAAGCUGACGAAGAUGAUGUUGAAGAGGUUUUGGCAUCCCAUGACCAAGAACUGAUAGAUGAAGAGCUGAUGCAAUUGGAAGAGGAAAGGAUAACAAUCGAAACCGUCUGAGUAAUGAUAAAAAAAAAGACAACUUGCAAAUUACUUGUCAGUCUUUGAAACAAUAAACCAAGAAUUGUCAACUUUAUUCGAGUUAAGCAGUGGUCCCCAACCAUCAGUGACCCAAGACGUGCAAAGGAAUAGGUCCGUGACCCAUUUGUGAAUGUCCCCGGUGAAUCAUUCAUGUCAGCGCGGGGAAAAGAUUAACUCCUCGAGCUUGCAAAUGACGGUGGGCUGAAAAGUUUGUUUGACAUAACAUCUCUGCUGGCAUUCUAGAUCAAAUUCAAGGCUGAAUAUCCUGAGAUAGCCACGAAAGCACUGAAAAUGUUGCUUCCAUUUCCAACAUAUUUCUGUAAAGCGGAGUUCUCGGCAAAGAAUGCAAUGAAAACUAAAUUGCAGAAUAGAUUGGACAUAAGGAACCCCCUUCGAGUAUCACUGUCUCCCAUCACCCCUCGGAUGGGACCGUCUUGUUGCAGGAGAACAAGCCCAGGGCUCCCACUGAUUCAGCGAUAUUGGUGUGUUGCAAUGAUCUUAAAUGUUCAUACGAGGAAAAUAUGCGCUGUGUGUUUAAUAUCCAAACGUUACUUAAAAUGUUAUGAUGCUAUUGACUUAAUUGACAUCAAUAUUCAUGCAAGGAAAAUAUGCACUGUGUGUUUAAUAUUAAAUUCAU
Long non-coding RNA from Mobula hypostoma (lesser devil ray), 1167 nucleotides. RefSeq lists it as uncharacterized. The transcript has 3 exons. The record is from RefSeq and is a predicted model, not a curated record. NCBI's taxonomy places the organism in Eukaryota, Metazoa, Chordata, Chondrichthyes, Myliobatiformes, Myliobatidae.